AGCGCAUGCGUGAAGCUUUCCGCUGAGCCGCCAUUGAGGGGCAUUGACUCAGUGAGUGGAAGAGAUUUGUUUGAAACAGGCCGCAAUGGAGAGACCAGCGCCCAGGGAAGCGAGGGAACAGCAGGCUCCUUCCAGCAGCGCAUCGAGAUGCAAUUAUCUGUUGUGCCAAGACAAUGUCACAUUUCCGUGGUGCAACACCAAGUGUGACUAGCUGCUCCUACUAACAGCAGGCAAAUACAUGAAGGACCAAGACAAAGUAUCAUUUCCUUGGUGCAAAGCCAAGUGUGAGCAGCUGCUUCUCACAAACAGCAGGUAUGUUACCGCUGUCAGAAUGCAUCAUUUCCACAGGCAAAGAGCAGUUUGAGUCAGAGACACGUUGAACUCAAUUUCCAGAGAAAUGCAUUCAAGCCAACAGUCAAAUACAAGCAACGAAAUACAAGUAGUUUGUUUUCUCUCUUCCCAAUGCACACCUCCUCGGUUGCUAUAAUUUUCUUCAUUCGUAGCCUACUGACAUUUAUGACAUUUUUGAAAAGUCACAGACUGAAUCCUCAUCUGAUACGGACACCGAGGAACUGCAGUAAAUCUGCAUUUAGUAAGCAGGUUUUUAAAAUUACUGUCAAGGUGAAGAAAUAGUUCAUGCAGUUACACAGUUACUUUGCACAGUGUGAGUACAGAUAUGGAAGAAAACAUUCACAUUAUCAGUAACUGAUCAGGACUGUGUCUAUGUUUUGACAAAUUGAUGUCCCAGGCAUAGAGAGAACAAUUAAAUAAUGUGACUUCCAAAUGUGUGACAUAAAAUGGCUACUGAGAGCACAUAACAUAAACUGCACAUGUGUACACACGCACACGCACGCACACCAACCUACCGAGUGAUUUACAAUGUAUUCCAAAUACACACGUGCACCGUUCCAACACACAUUCCUCAACAUCUAAUAGCCAUGAAGACCAUGUACACUUCAAGCCUCAGCACAUGUAACACUAAAAAUGAUUUCUACUCUCAGAUUUCAGGUCAGAGAGCUAGCCUUCUAUGAAAGAGACAAACAGAACAAAAAGUGAGCUCAGUUCUCCAAUCUCCAUGCACUCCCUGUAGGAUUUAACUACAUGGUAAUGGCCAUGGUCAUAAAUUAAGUAUCAAUUGUUUGCGACAUCAUCAAAAAAAAUUGUGUGAAUUUUUUGACAUACUGAAUUCCCAUGAAGUAGUCCAAGUAGUAGAUUGAACAAGAGAUUCA
Molecule: long non-coding RNA, 1229 nt
Organism: Stegostoma tigrinum
Lineage: Eukaryota; Metazoa; Chordata; Chondrichthyes; Orectolobiformes; Stegostomatidae
Exons: 3
Source: RefSeq, a predicted model, not a curated record